Molecule: ribosomal RNA, 252 nt
Filed under: uncultured bacterium
Lineage: Bacteria
Description: partial 16S ribosomal RNA
Rfam family: Bacterial small subunit ribosomal RNA
Source: RNAcentral
UACGAAGGGGGCUAGCGUUGCUCGGAAUCACUGGGCGUAAAGGGUGCGUAGGCGGGUCUUUAAGUCAGAGGUGAAAUCCUGGAGCUCAACUCCAGAACUGCCUUUGAUACUGAAAGUCUUGAGUAUGGGAGAGGUGAGUGGAACUGCGAGUGUAGAGGUGAAAUUCGUAGAUAUUCGCAAGAACACCAGUGGCGAAGGCGGCUCACUGGCCCAUUACUGACGCUGAGGCACGAAGCGUGGGGAGCAAACAGG